UACGUAGGGCGCAAGCGUUGUCCGGAAUUACUGGGCGUAAAGCGUGUGUAGGCGGCUUGGCAAGUCGGAUGUGAAGGCCCUGGGCUCAACCCAGGAAGUGCACUCGAUACUGCCGAGCUUGAGUAUCGGAGAGGUGGGUGGAAUUCUCGGUGUAGAGGUGAAAUUCGUAGAUAUCGAGAGGAACACCGGCGGCGAAGGCGGCCCACUGGACGAAUACUGACGCUGAGACACGAAAGCGUGGGGAGCGAACAGG
RNAcentral lists this ribosomal RNA (253 nucleotides) under uncultured bacterium. RNAcentral describes it as "partial 16S ribosomal RNA". It matches the Rfam family "Bacterial small subunit ribosomal RNA", at positions 524 to 776 of the family's 1533-position model. The record is from RNAcentral.